This 441-nucleotide ribosomal RNA is filed under the name uncultured bacterium. RNAcentral describes it as "partial 16S ribosomal RNA". It matches the Rfam family "Bacterial small subunit ribosomal RNA", at positions 338 to 795 of the family's 1533-position model. The record is from RNAcentral.
CCUACGGGUGGCAGCAGUCGGGAAUAUUGCGCAAUGGAGGAAACUCUGACGCAGUGACGCCGCGUGCAUGAAGAAGGUUUUCGGAUUGUAAACUGCUAUCGACAGGGAAGAAAAAAGACAGUACCUGUAGAAUAAGCUCCGGCUAACUACGUGCCAGCAGCCGCGGUAAUACGUAGGGAGCAAGCGUUAUCCGGAUUUAUUGGGUGUAAAGGGUGCGUAGACGGUUUGAUAAGUUAGAGGUGAAAUGUCGGGGCUCAACCCCGGAACUGCCUCUGAUACUGUUGGACUAGAGUAUAGGUGAGGUAGGCGGAAUGUAUGGUGUAGCGGUGAAAUGCGUAGAGAUCAUACAGAACACCAGUGGCGAAGGCAGCUUGCUGGACUAUAACUGACGUUGAGGCACGAAAGCGUGGGUAGCAAACAGGAUUAGAUACCCCUGUAGUC